CAGCAGCCACGGUAAUACGGAGGGGGCUAGCGUUGUUCGGAAUUACUGGGCGUAAAGCGCACGUAGGCGGCUUGGUAAGUUAGAGGUGAAAGCCUGGAGCUCAACUCCAGAAUUGCCUUUAAGACUGCCGAGCUAGCAGGUGAGAGAGGUAAGUGGAAUUCCGAGUGUAGAGGUGAAAUUCGUAGAUAUUCGGAAGAACACCAGUGGCGAAGGCGGCUUACUGGCUCAUACUGGACGCUGAGGUGCGAAAGCGUGGGGAGCAAACAGGAUUAGAUACCCCCGUAGUCCCUGUCUCUUAUAC
RNAcentral lists this ribosomal RNA (301 nucleotides) under uncultured bacterium. RNAcentral's name for it is "partial 16S ribosomal RNA". It matches the Rfam family "Bacterial small subunit ribosomal RNA", at positions 509 to 807 of the family's 1533-position model. The record is from RNAcentral.